CGCCUCUUGAUAAAAUAUAAGAGGUCCAGCCUGCCCAGUGACAUAGUUAAACGGCCGCGGUACCCUGACCGUGCGAAGGUAGCAUAAUCACUUGUUCUUUAAAUGGGGACUCGUAUCAACGGCAUCACGAGGGCUUUACUGUCUCCUUUCUCCAAUCAGUGAAACUGAUCUCCCCGUGAAGAAGCGGGGAUGACAAUAUAAGACGAGAAGACCCCAUGGAGCUUUAAACCCAACGACACCCCUCAACCCCCCAACCCAUUAUAGUUGCUACAGCCCUGUUCGUUGGUUUUAGGUUGGGGUGACCGCGGAGUAUAAAUUACCCUCCACGACGAAUGGGACUACCCCCUUACCCAAGAGCUACUCCUCUAAGGAUCAACAGAUUGACGUAAAAUGAUCCAAGCAUUUGAUCAACGGACCAAGUUACCCUGGGGAUAACAGCGCAAUCCAUUUCAAGAGCUCCUAUCGACAAAUGGGUUUACGACCUCGAUGUUGGAUCAGGGUACCCAAGUGGUGCAGCCGCUACUAAUGGUUUGUUUGUUCAACAAUUAA
RNAcentral lists this ribosomal RNA (549 nucleotides) under Hoplobatrachus rugulosus (rugose frog). RNAcentral's name for it is "partial large subunit ribosomal RNA". It matches the Rfam family "Bacterial large subunit ribosomal RNA", at positions 1829 to 2591 of the family's 2925-position model. The record is from RNAcentral. Lineage: Eukaryota; Metazoa; Chordata; Amphibia; Anura; Dicroglossidae.